GCGCUCGACUAUGCUGGUGACAAUAAACUGCCUUUAUUCGCUAAUUUGACUUGGAUGGGGCUGCAUGUUCACAAUUGCUAUGGUUGGAAACGUUUAUUGCUUUUGUUCAAUAGCAUGCCAAACCUGGUAUAUCUUGAUUUGACUAGAUUGAAGAAUUGUGAAGAUAAUGCUCUUGAGGAUUUCAAUUUUAUUGAACAAGAAGUGGUGCCUUGUUGUCUGUCGAUGCAUCUUCAAAAAAUUGGAAUUCGUGGAUUUCGGGGGCUGAGUGAUGAGCUGAAGCUGACAGUAUUUUCUGAGAAAUUGCAAUGUAUUGCAUGAGAAGUCAAUUGUAAAUUUUUAUUUAGAUGAAAAUCAAGAGAGAGAAUUUCUCAAGAAAGUGGAAAUGUUUCCUAGAAGUUCAAGAAACUGUCAAAUUAUUCUUGAGAAAGCACAAGAAGUUUCCUGAGAUGGAAUUGCAUCUGUUCUCUUUGUAUUGAAAGACUAUCAAAUUGUGUUUGUUACAUUUAUUCCUGAUGGGACAGUUUAUUUGAUUUUUAUUUUGAAUA
Molecule: long non-coding RNA, 545 nt
Organism: Cornus florida
Lineage: Eukaryota; Viridiplantae; Streptophyta; Magnoliopsida; Cornales; Cornaceae
Exons: 2
Source: RefSeq, a predicted model, not a curated record